RNAcentral lists this ribosomal RNA (253 nucleotides) under uncultured bacterium. Its description in RNAcentral is "partial 16S ribosomal RNA". It matches the Rfam family "Bacterial small subunit ribosomal RNA", at positions 524 to 776 of the family's 1533-position model. The record is from RNAcentral.
UACGUAGGGACCAAGCGUUGUCCGGAAUCAUUGGGCGUAAAGAGCGUGUAGGCGGAUUUGUUAGUCAGGGGUGAAAUCCCGGGGCUCAACCUCGGAACUGCCUUUGAUACUGCAAAUCUCGAGUCCGGAAGAGGUGGGUGGAAUUCCUAGUGUAGAGGUGAAAUUCGUAGAUAUUAGGAAGAACACCGGUGGCGAAGGCGGCCCACUGGUCCGGUACUGACGCUGAGGUGCGAAAGCGUGGGGAGCAAACAGG